This 300-nucleotide unclassified non-coding RNA is filed under the name uncultured Pleosporales. Its description in RNAcentral is "sequence contains ITS1". The stretch from base 1 to 105 matches the Rfam family "5.8S ribosomal RNA", at positions 50 to 154 of the family's 154-position model. Lineage: Eukaryota; Fungi; Ascomycota; Dothideomycetes; Pleosporales. The record is from RNAcentral.
GAAAUGCGAUAAGUAAUGUGAAUUGCAGAAUUCAGUGAGUAAUCGAAGCUUUGAACGCACCUUGCGCCCCUUGGUAUUCCAUGGGGCAUGCCUGCUCGUGCGUCAUUUGUACCCUCAAGCUAUGCUUGGUGUUGGGCGUCUUGUCCUCUUCUGGAGGACUCGCCUCAAAACAAUUGGCAGCCGGCAUAUUGGUAUCGGAGCGCAGCACAAGUCGCACUUUGUUCCAUGAAUGUUGGCAUCCAUCAAGACCAUUUUUUCACUCUUGACCUCGGAUCAGGUAGGGAUACCCGCCGAACUUAA